UCAUUGGUGGUUCAGUGGUAGAAUUCUUGCCUUCUAUGCAGGGGACCUGGGUUCAAUUCCCAGCCAGCGCA
RNAcentral lists this transfer RNA (71 nucleotides) under Loxodonta africana (African savanna elephant). It matches the Rfam family "tRNA". Rfam says of the family: Transfer RNA (tRNA) molecules are approximately 80 nucleotides in length. Their secondary structure includes four short double-helical elements and three loops (D, anti-codon, and T loops). Lineage: Eukaryota; Metazoa; Chordata; Mammalia; Proboscidea; Elephantidae. The record is from Rfam by way of RNAcentral.